AAGUAAAUAACAAGUAAUUAAAAGAGAGGGGUUUGAUUUGAAGAUGUACUAAAGCUAAUUAACAAUAGAAAGCAAAUAAUUUAAAGAUGAGUAAAUCAAUAAGAGAAAAGCUUCUAGUUGAAGUAUGGAUCUAUUUCAGAUUGUUUAGAAUUGAUCAUUGAUUCUUUAACACUCCUAUUUAUUUCAAUAAAUUAGUUUAGGAUGUGGA
This 208-nucleotide long non-coding RNA is filed under the name Manihot esculenta (cassava). RNAcentral describes it as "long non-coding RNA (MESC_LNC012373)". Lineage: Eukaryota; Viridiplantae; Streptophyta; Magnoliopsida; Malpighiales; Euphorbiaceae. The record is from RNAcentral.